Manacus vitellinus (golden-collared manakin) is the source of this 741-nucleotide long non-coding RNA. RefSeq lists it as uncharacterized. The transcript has 3 exons. The record is from RefSeq and is a predicted model, not a curated record. Lineage: Eukaryota; Metazoa; Chordata; Aves; Passeriformes; Pipridae.
GGAAAUGACUUCUUUGCAGUGCCUGCCCUGCACCACCACGGCUUCAACAAAAGGCCUGUGCAAUGUCGGCAGAGCAUGUAACUGGGGGAAACGUGCUCUGAGAAAUGUUCUUAUAUAUAGCAGAGAGGAAAGGAAUAGAGAAGUAAGAAAAAGACUGCGCUGUGGUUUUCAGGCUGCCAUUGCCCAAUUGCCUUUGCACCGUGAGGUCCUCCUGCCACGUGCCCUGUGCCUUCAUCAGGGGUGUGGAAGACAAGUAAUGCUGAUGCUUUACAGGAAUAACCUCUGAGCCACACUACAGCAGCUUCAUCUUCAAGAUACAAAAAGUCUGCCAUUAGCCUCUGCUUCCCAUAACUCAUGUUUUGGAUUGAGCUUCUCAUGCCUGGGAAAUGGGAGAACUGGAGAGAAACUGGGGAGAGAGACAAAGACAAGACUCUGAAGGCAGGCUGUCACGCAGGAACCAGGAGAAGGUAUAUUCUGUCCCUCCCAUCCUGUGGGGAUCCCAGAUGGCUGCUGUGUCAGCUGAAGUCACUCUCUGCUCUGUAACCUCUUCCUGAAGACUAGAGGAUACAGGUUCAACAGCCGGAAGCCUUCUGGGAAACUGCUUGAGAAUCAGCAGGUACCCAGGAGGUGCAAGAGGCUUUUCUUUGUAUUUAAAGUAAUACAUUUAAAGUGUAAAGUUUUCUAUCUUCCUCUAAAUUAAAGCCACUUUCUGUUUAAACAUUUACAACUCUUUCGAGCACA